AUCAACUUUCGAUGGUAGGAUAGAGGCCUACCAUGGUGGUAACGGGUAACGGGGUGUUAGGGCACGACACCGGAGAGGGAGCCUGAGAAACGGCUACCACAUCCAAGGAUGGCAGCAGGCGCGCAAAUUACCCAAUCCCGACACGGGGAGGUAGUGACAAUAAAUAACAAUACGGGGUUCUUUCGGAUUUCGUAAUUGGAAUGAGUACAAUUUAAAUCUCUUAACGAGGAACAAUUGGAGGGCAAGUCUGGUGCCAGCAGCCGCGGUAAUUCCAGCUCCAAUAGCGUAUAUUAAAGUUGUUGCAGUUAAAAAGCUCGUAGUUGAAUUUCGGGGUCAGUAGAUUGGUCAUGCCAUUGGUAUGCACUGGUCUUACUGGCUCCUCCUUCCUGAUGAACCGUAAUGCCAUUAAUUUGGUGUUGCGGGGAGACUGGACUGUUACUUUGAAAAAAUUAGAGUGUUUAAAGCAGGCUAACGCUUGAAUACAUUAGCAUGGAAUAAUGAAAUAGGACGUUCGAUCUUAUUUUGUUGGUUUCUAAGAUUGACGUAAUGAUUAAUAGGGAUAGUUGGGGGCAUUAGUAUUCAAUUGUCAGAGGUGAAAUUCUUGGAUUUAUUGAAGACUAACUACUGCGAAAGCAUUUGCCAAGGAUGUUUUCAUUAAUCAAGAACGAAAGUUAGGGGAUCGAAGACGAUCAGAUACCGUCGUAGUCUUAACCAUAAACUAUGCCGACUAGGGAUCGGAUGAUGUUAAUUUUUUAAUGACUCAUUCGGCGCCUUACGGGAAACCAAAGUGUUUGGGUUC
This 799-nucleotide ribosomal RNA is filed under the name uncultured Glomeromycotina. Its description in RNAcentral is "SSU rRNA". It matches the Rfam family "Eukaryotic small subunit ribosomal RNA", at positions 314 to 1114 of the family's 1831-position model. Lineage: Eukaryota; Fungi; Glomeromycota. The record is from RNAcentral.